CGUAGGUGGCAAGCGUUACUCGGAAUCACUAGGCGUAAAGCGCAGGUAGGCGGUUAGAUAAGUUUCUUGUGAAAGCUCCUGGCUUAACUGGGAGAGGCCAAGGAAUACUGUCUGACUUGAGUAUGGUAGGGGUAACUGGAAUUCCCGGUGUAGCGGUGAAAUGCGUAGAUAUCGGGAGGAAUACCUAUGGCGAAGGCAGGUUACUGGGCCAUUACUGACGCUGAGCUGCGAAAGCUAGGGGAGCAAACAGGAUUAGAUACCCUGGUAGUCCUAGCCCUAAACGAUGCUUAUUAGAUGUGGGAGGUAUCGACCCCUUCCGCGUCGGCGCUAACGCAUUAAAUAAGCCGCCUGGGGAGUACGGCCGCAAGGUUG
RNAcentral lists this ribosomal RNA (372 nucleotides) under uncultured organism. Its description in RNAcentral is "bacterial SSU rRNA". It matches the Rfam family "Bacterial small subunit ribosomal RNA", at positions 526 to 896 of the family's 1533-position model. The record is from RNAcentral.